CACCAGACAGGAACUGAAGCAGCACCUCCAUCGUUGGAGCCUGGCUACAAGGGACAGGGGAGGACUGGCUAGAGAAGAGGUGGCAGAAGGGAUCUGUGACUGACGAUCGUUCCUCACUUGGGACCAGCACAAGCCACCACCAACUUCAGGCAGGACUCCAGAGAAGACUCUUGCACAUCCUGAACGGCCAGCAAAGUUUCAAACCGGGCAAGCUGAUGGCCGGGCAGACCGGGGAGAUUAGCAUACGGGAGCCCUGCGGAGGGCAGGCAGUCUGGAAGUCCCAAAGAGCUGCCAUUUCAUGCAUAUGCAGCACUUUCCCAGAGCCAAAGGCAAUGGGACUGCAAUCACUUUUUUCUGUGUAUCUAUUCGAAGGUAGAAGCAGGUAUGCGGUUUCCUAAAGCUGCUGCCGAAACAGUGUAGAUAUGCCUAAUUUGGUAAAAAUAAACAGUAAGGAUUUCAAAGGACA
Molecule: long non-coding RNA, 466 nt
Filed under: Felis catus (domestic cat)
Lineage: Eukaryota; Metazoa; Chordata; Mammalia; Carnivora; Felidae
Description: lncRNA (ENSFCAG00000050651.1)
Source: RNAcentral